UGGCUCUGCUGCAGGUGAGCCGGUGAGCCAGGCCGAUGGCGGUGACUACAGCCUUGUCUGCUGCAGCAGCGGCUGCGGCCCUAUCAGGCCUGGCAAUGCGACUGUCGCGUUGGGCGGCGACACGCGGCUCCUACAGCGCCUUCUGCAAGGGGCUCACGCGCACGCUGCUCACCUUCUUCGACCUGGCCUGGCGGCUGCGCGUGAACUUCCCUUACUUCUACAUGGUGGCCUCGGUGAUGCUCAAUGUCCGCCUGCAGGUGCGGAUCGAGUGAGCCAUCGCCCGGCACCGCGGCGGCCCCUCGGGCGGAGAGCGCCAUCCGCGCCACCCGCGCCAGGCGGCCGCGGGAAGGACCGUGGGGCCCCGCAGUGCCCAGAGACCGCGGCGGGGGGCGCAGGCGGGACGGCCCGGACCCCUCCAUUUUAGGCCUCCUCCGCGGAGGGCCCCAGGUACCAUAUCCCAUACCGCAAAAACCUUCACAGCCGAGUCCUUUUCCACUGCAUCCAGAGAAGCACCAGAGUCUGGCAAACCUGUUGCCUCCCAUUGGCCAGAAAGGGGGAACACUCGAAAGAGGGGAUGCUACCGCAGGAUUUACCAGGCCCUGUGCAGGAAGGCUCCCUGCAGCACCUGCGAUCACACUCUCCAGACCCAGAAGCCCAUCUACCAGCCAUGAGCAGCCUGGCAGCUGUGUACCACAGGAUCUGGGGAAGUGGUCUUGCUCUUCUAGGUGAUGGCUCACCACUUCUGAGAUCAUUUCAAGAUGGAUCCCUACAUAAAGAUGUCUCCUGCUGUUCCUGUAGCAGCGCGGGGAGCAGCCGAGUGAAGAGCCUACCUAGAAGAAAGGCCUUUCUGGUAGAGGCCUAGAGGGGUGGCAUGGCUCGGGUCCUCUGGCCCUUCCAUAGAAAAGAUGCCAGUGUACCUUGGGCACUGAUAUCUCCUAGCAACACUGUGAGGGAGAGGUAUUCUCCCACCUCAGGAACUCAGCGGGGCUCAAUGAAAGGCGUGGGAUUUGCCCUUGUUACACAGAAUAGUGGGGAGCUUGGCCUGCCCUGGACCUCCAUUCCCCCACCUCCUCUGUAGUCUUCUUUGUGACCUGGCAGGACAUUGGGGUUGGGAGGGAGUAGAGAGCUGCCAGGGGACCUAGGGAGAAAGAGAGACCAUGGGGUAGGGAAGCUAGGCAUCUACCUUUCCUUGGAGUGGUCUAGAAGACAGGCCAAUA
Peromyscus eremicus (cactus mouse) is the source of this 1217-nucleotide RNA transcript. RefSeq lists it as uncharacterized. The record is from RefSeq and is a predicted model, not a curated record. Lineage: Eukaryota; Metazoa; Chordata; Mammalia; Rodentia; Cricetidae. The transcript has 3 exons.